UUGCUAAUGAAAUUCUUAGUGGCGGACGGGUUAGUAACACGUGAGAAUCCUACCCUUAAGUGGGGAAUAGCCUUUCGAAAGGAAGAUUAAUGCCCCAUGGUCUCUACGGAGUAAAGAUGCCUUCGGGUGUCGCUUAAGGAUGGGCUCGCGGCCUAUCAGCUAGUUGGUGAGGUAAGAGCUCACCAAGGCAACGACGGGUAGCUGGUCUGAGAGGACGAUCAGCAACACUGGAACUGAGACACGGUCCAGACACCUACGGGUGGCAGCAGUCGAGAAUCAUUCACAAUGGACGAAAGUCUGAUGGUGCAACGCCGCGUGGAGGAUGACGGCCCUAGGGUUGUAAACUCCUGUCAUCAGGGAGUAAGACUUAUUCGUUAAUAGCGUGUAAGUUUGAUAGUACCUGAAGAGGAAGGGACGGCUAACUUCGUGCCAGCAGCCGCGGUAAUACGAAGGUCCCAAGCGUUGUUCGGAAUAACUGGGCGUAAAGCGUGUGUAGGCCGCGCGGAA
RNAcentral lists this ribosomal RNA (507 nucleotides) under uncultured Roseibacillus sp. RNAcentral's name for it is "bacterial SSU rRNA". It matches the Rfam family "Bacterial small subunit ribosomal RNA", at positions 77 to 585 of the family's 1533-position model. The record is from RNAcentral. Lineage: Bacteria; Pseudomonadati; Verrucomicrobiota; Verrucomicrobiia; Verrucomicrobiales; Verrucomicrobiaceae.